RNAcentral lists this long non-coding RNA (453 nucleotides) under Bos taurus (domestic cattle). RNAcentral's name for it is "long non-coding RNA NONBTAT028368". Lineage: Eukaryota; Metazoa; Chordata; Mammalia; Artiodactyla; Bovidae. The record is from RNAcentral.
GAGCAUUUUUAUUUCCCCAAGAGUGCACACAUUUGUGGGAGGAGGGUCUCAGUUAGAAACAGCGUCCACAUCAGAUGACAACCACUAGCCUCUCUGUUCUGAGGCCCUUGCAGAGCCCAGUUCAUUCUACCUGUCUCCUUUUAUGCUGAGUUCUCAGCAUAUCUCACACACACGCAGCCUGGCCUCCAAAGUUGCCCCACCUACACCAUCUGAAACACCUGAACCCAACAACAGACAGGGUUCAAACAUUUUCUUGGACUUCACCUCAGUGUCAGGGCCAGCCUCAGCACAAACAGCUCCUCGCAGAGACAGGAGCCUUCAACUGCAGAGUCCUGAGUCAGGAGAAGGGCAGCUUCUGCCCAGCUGAGCCAGCAACAGGCAUGUUACCACAAAACUUCCAAUCACUACAGCCAUUUGUUUGAUUCCCUGUAAAGGUGUCAAGCAUUUACGGAU